UACGAAGGGGGCUAGCGUUUUUCGGAUUUACUGGGCGUAAAGCGCGUGUAGGCGGAUCGUUAAGUCGGGGGUGAAAGCCCAGAGCUCAACUCUGGAAUUGCCUUCGAUACUGGCGGUCUGGAGCAGAGAAGAGGCGAGUGGAAUUCCGAGUGUAGAGGUGAAAUUCGUAGAUAUUCGGAGGAACACCAGUGGCGAAGGCGGCUCGCUGGUCUCUUGCUGACGCUCAUGCACGAAAGCGUGGGGAGCAAACAGG
Molecule: ribosomal RNA, 253 nt
Filed under: uncultured bacterium
Lineage: Bacteria
Description: partial 16S ribosomal RNA
Rfam family: Bacterial small subunit ribosomal RNA
Source: RNAcentral